CGGAGGGGGCUAGCGUUGUUCGGAAUUACUGGGCGUAAAGCGCCCGUAGGCGGCUUUGUAAGUUAGAGGUGAAAGCCCGGGGCUCAACUCCGGAACUGCCUUUAAGACUGCAUCGCUAGAAUUGUGGAGAGGUGAGUGGAAUUCCGAGUGUAGAGGUGAAAUUCGUAGAUAUUCGGAAGAACACCAGUGGCGAAGGCGACUCACUGGACACAUAUUGACGCUGAGGUGCGAAAGCGUGGUGAGCAAACAGG
Molecule: ribosomal RNA, 251 nt
Filed under: uncultured bacterium
Lineage: Bacteria
Description: partial 16S ribosomal RNA
Rfam family: Bacterial small subunit ribosomal RNA
Source: RNAcentral